UACGGGGGGGGCAAGCGUUGUUCGGAAUUACUGGGCGUAAAGGGCGCGUAGGCGGGUGCUCAAGUCCGGGGUGAAAUCCUCCAGCUCAACUGGAGAACUGCCUCGGAUACUGGGUGUCUCGAGGGUGGUAGGGGUAUGCGGAACUAUCGGUGGAGCGGUGAAAUGCGUUGAUAUCGAUAGGAACUCCGGUGGCGAAGGCGGCAUACUGGACCACAUCUGACGCUGAGGCGCGAAAGCCAGGGGAGCAAACGGG
RNAcentral lists this ribosomal RNA (253 nucleotides) under uncultured bacterium. RNAcentral's name for it is "partial 16S ribosomal RNA". It matches the Rfam family "Bacterial small subunit ribosomal RNA", at positions 524 to 776 of the family's 1533-position model. The record is from RNAcentral.